Long non-coding RNA from Octopus sinensis (East Asian common octopus), 2077 nucleotides. RefSeq lists it as uncharacterized. The record is from RefSeq and is a predicted model, not a curated record. The transcript is spliced from 2 exons. Lineage: Eukaryota; Metazoa; Mollusca; Cephalopoda; Octopoda; Octopodidae.
CGCAGGCUACUAACCCCAAGAUUCGGAGUUCAAUUCCAGGCAGUGACCUGAAUAAUAAUAAUAAUAAUAAUAAUAAUAAUAAUAAUAAUAAUAAUAAUAGGAAUGAUAACCCAGGUUCAAAAUUACCCCAGGACAUUUGAGGAAUAGGAUGGGCAAAGUUCAGCGAGCUACUACAUUUGUUAGUAAUGAAGGCCCUCUCUCUCAGAGUGAAAGGCAGAUUGUAUGAUGUCUGUGUUUGAACAGCUAUGCUACAUGGCAGUGAGACUUGGGCUGCAACUACUGAGGAUAUGCAAAGGCUUGAAAGAAACGAAGCCAGUAUGCUCCAAUGAAUGGGUAAUGCCAGUGUGCGUAUACGACAGUGUAAGUGAUGAGAGAAAACUGGGUGUACAAAGCAUCAGAUGUAGCAUGCAAGAGAGAAGACUGUGCUGGCAUGGCCAUGUAAUGCGUAUGAAUGAAGACAGCUACAUCAAGAAGUACUGACCUCAAACUGUAGAGGGAACGUGGGGAAGGGGUAGAUCCAGGAAGAUGUUGGAUGAAAUGGUGAGAAAGGAUCUACAGACAUUGGGACUCACAGAGGGGAAGAUAGGGGAUUGAGGCUCCUGGUGUUUUGUUGUGCUUGAGAAGACACAUCAAGCUAAGUAAAAGCAUGGUUAUCCUUGCAUACAGAUUGUUUCUUGCAUCCCUUUCCAGUUGAGCAUUCCUAACCUUGCAGGCUCAUGGGUGCUGGUGCUGUGUAAGAAGCACCCAUACUAUUGCCACAUAAAUGCACUGAUAUCAGUGCUGCAUAAAAGCAUCCAGCACAUUCUGUAAAGUGAUUGGAGUUAGGAAGAGCAUCCGGCCGUAGAAACCAUGCCAAGACAGACAUGGAGCCUGGGCAGCUACUAUCAAACCAUCCAACUCAUGCUAAUAUGGAAAACAAAUGUUAAAUAAAGAUGGAUGAUUAUAUAUAUAUAAGAUAUUACAAGAAGCAUAAGUUUAUAUCAUAUGCUUCAUCACUGUGGUUGUUAAGAACUCUGCAUUGGAUGUUCCAAGUGAAAUUGGAUGCUUAACUGCGACAGAACUAAUGUCAGACAUUACUUCUCUGUAACAUAAUCUAAUAAAGCUUUCCUUGAUGAUCUCUUGUGGUUAAGCAUUCAGUUACCUUUGAAUAUCCAAUGCAAAGUUCUAAACAACCACAAUGAUGAAACAUUUAUAGGAACAAAUAAAAUAAACUUGUUUUUCAUAAUUUCUUGUACAUUUGCUCUGUAUAUCAUAACUAGUAAUACUACUAAGUAUAGUAGUUGUUUAACCACUACACUGGAAGCAAACUAGAUGAUGGUAAUCCAUGUAGAGCUCUGAACUGAACAGUAGCAGUCAUAAAUCUGUUAGUACAUACAAGAUACACACACACACACUAUCAUCAUCAUCAUUGUCGUUUAACAUCCGCUUUCCAUGCUGGCAUGGCUUGGAUGGUUUUACUGAGGGCUGGCAAGCCAGAAGGCUGGACAAGGCUCCAAUCUGAUCUGGCAGUUUCUCCAGCUGAGUGCCCUUCCUAACAGCAACCAGUUUGAGAGUGUAGUAGGGUAUAUAUAUGUAAUUAUAUAUAUAUAAUGAUGAUGAUCAUCAUCAUCAUAGGUAUCAGCUUGUUAGCUGACUAUGACCAUCACUGACAAGUUAUGUUUCUGGGGUAUUUUUUGAUGGUUAUAGGACCUACAAUGGCUUUUAAAGCCUGCGAAUGACUUGGAUUUUUGUAGCAGAUGCAGUAUUCAUUUUUAAUAGAGUUGUUCUGUACAGCACUUUGUGUAAUUUCAUGUCUUGUGAGUCCAGGUCAGUUGUAAAAUUCCCUACUACAUUGACACAUACACAUGCAUAUAUGAUGUGCUUCUUUCUACCAGAUCCACUCACAAGGCUUUGAUUGACCUAGGGCUAUAUUAGAAGACACUGGCCUGAAGUAGAGUGCAGUGAGACUGAACCCGAGACCAUAAAUGCCUGAUAAAAUGAAGGGCAAUUUAGCAUAUAGAAUAAUGUAAUACAUUGAGUGCAAAUAAAUUGCUAUGCUAUUGAAACAUUUGUAGAGUAAAAUGAAUUGUUGAAUGUC